This is a long non-coding RNA of Chroicocephalus ridibundus (black-headed gull), 1685 nucleotides long. RefSeq lists it as uncharacterized. Lineage: Eukaryota; Metazoa; Chordata; Aves; Charadriiformes; Laridae. The transcript has 7 exons. The record is from RefSeq and is a predicted model, not a curated record.
GGGAACGGAGCGGAAGUGCCACCAUUUCCCUCUACGGGGGCGCUGGCGGCGGAGGCUGGUGGUGCUCCCGCUGCUAAGAAAUCUUCGCGUAGGUUGCUGUUCUCGGGAUAUGCUUAAACAUCUGCACAGGGAUUUUACAGAAAUCCUCUGUGCAAAACCCACAACCUCUGACCAGUACUUUCUCCAGACCAAAUUUAGACUGUCAGCAGAUGUGCUUAGAAGAAAAUGGACAUGUGUGUUGCAUCCUCACCACUAAAAAUAAUCCUUUGAAGCUUGGGUCCUGUGACAUCUAGACCCUUUAGGGUCGCUGGCUUCAGCUCCAUCAUGACGUCCUAACAUAUACUGUGUUGGUGGUGAUAUAUUGACCGUCAAACCACACUGAAGCAUGGAGCUGGUACAUACUGAAUGGAGGAUCAGAGCAGAGUUGAAAGAGCAUAUGGAAAACCACAAAACUUCUACAGCCCUUCUGUCUUCAUUUUGGAAUGAGGUACCUGGUUUUGAACCAGACAUCAGAUAAAUGGGCAUCACAAACAAAUCCAUCAGAAAAAAAAAAAAAAACCAAAAAAAAACCCCCCACAAACGAAAAACAAAUGAAAGAGAAGAAAGAAGGCUGAAGAUAAUCCUGUGUGCUCCAGCACAAAAGCAACUAGAAAGAAGGAUUGAAGUUAAUUUACAUGUAGUACCUACGGUCCUGACCCUGUGGCGGGACUGGCAGAACAGAAUCUGUUGUGAACCGCAGCCAGUUCAGUGUUGUGUCCCGCAGCUUACGUUGAACAACUGAUGGCAGAAUGGCGUAAAGAUAAUUCUUCUAUGCUGACUGUAGGUAUGACUCGAAAGUACACCGUUUCCUUUUGCUGAGGGCUGACCAAUAAUCGGGAUAGAGAUCAUUCAGAAGAAGAGCUUGGACCUUCAUGUAUGCCGACAUCACACUAGUGAGGCAUUUGGCUGUAGUUUUUGCUGCUGUUCUUCCCCUGACAAACAAUUUCUCUGAAAACACAUUAAGAAAUAUCACCUGAGUUCAGGAACCUCAUUAACCAUCCAAUUCCCAGCUCACCUUUACCCUCAAAUCAGUUCUGUGGAACACUGGGUUCUUCACGCUUAAAUUUCCACCAGAGCAUCCCAGCAAAUAAAGAAGCUGUUGGCAUUGUCAGACUUUUGUGCUGAAAGCCAGGGGCUAUGUGGAAGAAGAAAAGAAGCAGUCCUUACAUGGCAAUUAAAAGCACUUAGAAUGGACUUCCCAAAAAGUUUUGCUUGCGUUAUGGUGCAGGUGUUAACUCCAGUGUCCUGAGAGGAAUGUGAAGGUUUCUGUUGCACAAAGGGUGGACAUGUUGAUUUUUUUGUUCUGGUGACCUCUUGUUGAUGUAUUCCGUGUAGUUACAAGUGAAGAGUUUGACUUUUCGAGGCAGAAUCUGUUAAAAUGUACCAAAGCUGACAGUGAACCCUACAGGUGGUUUCUGUACUACAUCUCUCACUUUUAAUACAGCUCUCUAUAUAAAACGGUAAAUGAUUCAAGAAAACCUACUGAUGCUGUACCACUCAUAAUGUUGUAAAAAAAAAAAAAUCAUUAAAUUUAUUUGUGGUUAUUUUUAUAACAAAAUAUGUCUAUUAUCUUGAACUAAUCCAAUGUUGAAGUAAGAAUAUAAGCUAUUGAAAUAUGAUAUUAAAUAAACUUGACUUAAAAUUCA